This 674-nucleotide long non-coding RNA is filed under the name Homo sapiens (human). RNAcentral's name for it is "HSALNT0324764". The record is from RNAcentral. Lineage: Eukaryota; Metazoa; Chordata; Mammalia; Primates; Hominidae.
UUUUUGCUUUGCCACAGUGAUGUCAGGACAAAUGUACCACGAGUGCCUGAGAGUCCAGUCUUCCCCAAGAAGAGACAAGCACGAAGAUCCUAGGAGGAAGCACGCUGACGGGGACUAGUCACGGCCACGACACCUCUAGUGUCAGGGCAGCCCUGUGGCCCCUCGAGCUGCUGUGUAACCAGCUCCUCUGGGAAAGCACAAGCCCUUGGAAUGCUCUCCAGCUCCCUUGUGAGUAAUUUUCGAGAAGAACACAACUUUGCCAAGAACAUCCCGCAAUCUGGGUGUCUUGUCUUUGAAGACUUUGGAAAAUUUGGAUGACGUGCCUAGCGCCAUAAUUUAUACUUCAGUAGGCCGGUCUUCAUCAAUGCAAUGGAAUCAUCCAUGUGUGGCUCCCGAGGAAAGAAGGUGUGGUUUACUGCCAGGUGCUCUUCAGAGCUGAGUCCCUCUAACAGCAGGCCUGUUAAGGCGUGGCUGCGGCCUGAACCCUCCGGCUGAGCCUUUGCCUCCCAGGUUCCUGGACAUCCUCCACUCACUCCUCUGUUUGUGGGACCCUGCCUGGCCUGUCUGAUCCUCCUUGAGAUUUUGGCCCACAUAUAUCAAUUUCUCUCUGCCCCCAUGCAGUGGUAGUCACCGUUCUGUCCCCCGCGGGUGCUGGUGAGAAAGGUAAAAGGGCG